Molecule: long non-coding RNA, 2929 nt
Filed under: Marmota monax (woodchuck)
Lineage: Eukaryota; Metazoa; Chordata; Mammalia; Rodentia; Sciuridae
Source: RNAcentral
GUUAUUUUCUAUCCUAUGGUUCUCUUUUCUGACUACAAAUGGGAAAUAAGCUUUUUAAUUGUUGGUUCUGGGUAUUACUUCUUUGGCUGCUUUAAAGAUCUCUUUUAUGUUCUGUAUCUAUUUGUAAAUGCUGCUUUCUGGGUUAUUUCUUCAAGCCUAGCUUUCAGUUUACAAAUUCUCUCUUCUACUGGGUCAGUUUAUCCAUUCUAAUUGCAAUUAUUAUUUCAUUGUUUACUUCUUCCUGAAAUCUGCCUUAUCAUUCUUUUCAUUUGUUUUUUAUCAUACAUUCCUCUUAUUGCUUCUGACACAAUUUUGCAGUCUUUGCAAAUUUGACUAUAUUAUUUGUCAUUUCUUCUCUCACAUGUGACACACUUAUAACUUUGGAUAUUAACUUGUUUCUUAGAAUACCUGUGGGAAUGCCUUGAUGCUUGUGUCUAAAGAAUACUCCUCCAGGAAGGUUUUGGGUUGGUUUUUGUUAGAAACAUGGGGACACUAUCAACUCAGGAUCAUUGUAAAAUAAAUUCUCAGUUUGAGACUUUUAAUGACACACAAGUAAGACUUCUGCACAAAAUCUGCAUGGUAACUAGCUGUGGUAAGGAAUUUCUCAUGGGACACUUUUCUCCCACUCAACAUUGAGGCCUGCACUUUUUCCUUAUAUCCAUCUCUGAAGUGUUUUAUUUUCUAGUUUACCAAAAAUGUUAAAUCCUACUCUGCUCAGGCUACUCAUUUUUGUCCAGCUGACUUGCAGACCUAAGUGUACUGUAAACAGCAUUAUUAUAACUUUUUUCUUUCAGUAACUAUACUUGUUAAGAGUUUGAUCAAGUCCUGACCCUAUCUGCAGAUCUCACCCAGGAGAGACUCGUGGAUGGAUGCUCCUCUCCAAGUGCAGCCAUCAGCUUCAGUACUUGUUACUUUCUCGUGUUUUCUUUUUUUGCUUCUGAGAAUUCCUUUAAAAAAAUUUUUUUUUAGUUGUAGAUGGAUACCUUUCUUUAUAUGUGAUGCUUAAGAUCAAACCCAGGGCCUCACAUGUGCUAGGGAAGUGCUCUACCACUAAACUACAACUCCAGUCCUGAGAAUUCCUUUUUUGACAAAUCCCCUAUAUAAUUAAAGACCAUCCCCCCCCCAUGUUUAUCCAUCAUUGUUUUCUGAGAUAAUAAGUUUCUCAAGUUAUUUAGUCUAGCAUACUGCCAGACAUUUCUGUUCUACUUUCCCACAUAUAUGUGCUUUUAUGCAUAAAAAUGGAUAAAGGAGAUUUGUCAACCUUACUGAAAAGAUGUAAAAAGUUCUGGCAAGAAAAAUCACAAGUCAGCUAGUUUCAGGGUGAUGGUAAACAACAUGAAAUGGGUAAUGAAAAGAGAAAAUGUAUACAUGCAUAUGCAAUGUAUUUAUUUGUAUGCAUGUUCAUGUAUUUUUUUACUAUUAUUUUUAGUACUAGGGAUGAGUCCAGAGGUACUUUACCACUGAGUCAAUCCCUAGCCCUUUUCAUUUUGUAUUUUUGAGACAGGGUCUCCCUAAGUUGCUCAGGACCUUGCUAAGUUGUCGAGGCUGGCUUUGAACUUGCAAUCCUCCUACCUCAGCCUACCAAGCCACUGGCAUUACAGGCAUGCACCACCACACCCAGCUGUUCAUAUAUAUAUUUAUAUAAACUAUGCACACUUGAAUAACUAGAGACUUAUUACUAAUGUAUGUCUUUCCUUAUUAUAUAUGUAUAUAUCUAUAUUAAAGUUGAUAUAUGUACACACACACAACUUUCCCCCUCUUCUAUCUUCCAGUUAUUCCAUCUAACAUUAUAAGACUUUUAUAACAAGGAACAUUGUGAUCAAGCAAGGGUAAUAUCAUAGAGAUGAAUAGGAAACUUGUAAAAUUUAUGCCCUCUUGGGAAGAAGAUAGGUGUUGUCUACAACAGGGAAGUAGGUGUGUGUGAAGAAGAAUCAUGACAGUCUUUGUUCUUCUUUGGAAACUUAACAUGGAUACAAGUGUAAGUGUAGAUACUGAGUAUUGUGAAGGAUGAACCAUGCUCAACAAUAUCUGCUGAAGAUUCUGUACUGUUCUCAUUCUUGUACUCCAUACUUGUCCACAUAAAUCCAAUUGGAUUUCACCAAUAAGAGGCAUUUGUACACAAUUCAGAAAGUAAAGAAAGGUAAAGUAUUCUCCAGUGGUAAUUGCAAUCAGGCUAAUGGGAUUUGUCAGUCGUUUCCAGGCACUUUUCUGAAAACCACUCACACUUGGUGCUGCAGGAGCCAAUAUCACCCAUGGCAGGCAGCUUCCUAUAAUCCCUACAGUGGCAGAUUUCAUACUGGUCUUCCUGAUCUGCAUUUCCUCAAGCUUUCUAAUGGUCAUAGAAGACCAAAGUAAUGGUUAAUUUGAAUUGUCAAGUUGAUUGGAUUAAGAGAUGCCAAUGAUUAAGAGGCUUCUGGGUAUGUCAAGGAAUUACUGUCAUGUUGGAUAGCCAACUGAAAUGAAGACCCUCCCUAAGCAGCAUCACCCAACAAAGAUAAUAGCAUGGAUGAAAUAAAUUUGGAAGAACAAGGAAGCAGCAGCAGAUGGAAGUUCUAUUCUUCUUGAACAGGUUCUUGAUUGCUGCUGCGAUCAUCUGAGGAUAUCAGACUCUCACUUCUUCACUCUUCGAAAGCAGACCCUGCCAGUGAUUCUCCAGGGUGUUUCCAGAAGCCUUUGGUCUCAGACUAGGGUAGAACCAUUGAUCCUUCUCAUUCUAAGGCUUCAGCCUCUUGGACUGUGCAAUUACUGGUUCUUCCAGCUCUCCAGUCUGCAGCCCACCAUUGUGGACUAUCCAGCCAACCUAAUAAAUCCCCUUUUUAUAAUUAUACUUCCUGUUGAUUCUGUUCCUCUACAGAACUCUAAUACAUCUCCCUAAAAAAUUCUUUCCUACUGAAAAUUCCCUCAGAGAAUUCUGAUUUCUUGAUCAAAC